UGGGGAAUUUUGGACAAUGGGCGAAAGCCUGAUCCAGCAAUGCCGCGUGUGUGAAGAAGGCCUUCGGGUUGUAAAGCACUUUUGUCCGGAAAUAAAUCCUUGGCUCCAAUACAGUCGGGGGAUGACGGUACCGGAAGAAUAAGCACCGGCUAACUACGUGCCAGCAGCCGCGGUAAUACGUAGGGUGCAAGCGUUAAUCGGAAUUACUGGGCGUAAAGCGUGCGCAGGCGGUUUGCUAAGACCGAUGUGAAAUCCCCGGGCUCAACCUGGGAACUGCAUUGGUGACUGGCAGGCUAGAGUAUGGCAGAGGGGGGUAGAAUUCCACGUGUAGCAGUGAAAUGCGUAGAGAUGUGGAGGAAUACCGAUGGCGAAGGCAGCCCCCUGGGCCAAUACUGACGCUCAUGCACGAAAGCGUGGGGAGCAAACAGGAUUAGAUACCCUGGUAGUCCACGCCCUAAACGAUGUCAACUAGUUGUUGGGGAUUCAUUUCCUUAGUAACGUAGCUAACGCGUGAAGUUGACCGCCUGGGGAGUACGGUCGCAAGAUUAAAACUCAAAGGAAUUGACGGGGUCAUAGCUGUUUCCU
Molecule: ribosomal RNA, 585 nt
Filed under: uncultured bacterium
Lineage: Bacteria
Description: partial 16S ribosomal RNA
Rfam family: Bacterial small subunit ribosomal RNA
Source: RNAcentral